Molecule: ribosomal RNA, 338 nt
Filed under: uncultured bacterium
Lineage: Bacteria
Description: bacterial SSU rRNA
Rfam family: Bacterial small subunit ribosomal RNA
Source: RNAcentral
CUACUAUGUUCAGAGUUUGAUCCUGGCUCAGGACGAACGCUGGCGGCGUGCCUAACACAUGCAAGUCGAACGGAGUUGUUCCUUCGGGGGACAACUUAGUGGCGAACGGGUGAGUAACGCGUGAGGAACCUGCCUUUCAGUGGGGGACAACAGUUGGAAACGACUGCUAAUACCGCAUAACAUGUACGGAUCGCAUGGUCUGUACAUCAAAGCUUUAUGUGCUGAAAGAUGGCCUCGCGUCUGAUUAGCUAGUUGGUGAGGUAACGGCUCACCAAGGCGACGAUCAGUAGCCGGUCUGAGAGGAUGAACGGCCACAUUGGGACUGAGAUACGGCCCAG